Molecule: transfer RNA, 71 nt
Filed under: Vanmanenia hainanensis
Lineage: Eukaryota; Metazoa; Chordata; Actinopteri; Cypriniformes; Gastromyzontidae
Description: Homalosoma hainanensis tRNA-Ser
Rfam family: tRNA
About the family: Transfer RNA (tRNA) molecules are approximately 80 nucleotides in length. Their secondary structure includes four short double-helical elements and three loops (D, anti-codon, and T loops).
Source: RNAcentral
AAGGAAGUGGCAGAGUGGUUAUGUGACUGGCUUGAAACCAGUGCACGGGGGUUCAAUUCCUCCCUUCCUCG